AUUUAGAAUACUGGGCGGGGUAUUGAUUAAAAGUUGCGAAAUUUAUAAUAAUCUGCCAUAUUUUCAUCUUUUUAAUGCCCAACUUUACAGCAUAAUCAAAUAAAGUUCAGUACUUUAGUGCGAUAUGGAGGUUUGUUGUUCGUUUAAGACGAUAAUUGGGGGAAUAUGUGGUUCAGAUAGCCGAGAUAAAAAAGAAGAAGUGACAGUCAUUCCACUAGUUUCCUGUUCAAGAGAUAUAGCAAAACAUUUGGGAUUAUUGGCGUUUUCUGGACCGGAAAGUGAGGUAGAUUUGAUCUUGUCUCGAGCUGCGAUAUUUAAGAUACCACAGGAUAUAAACGACAUGACAAUAUGCCCAUUCCAUCGCGGGAAACUUGGUUUAGGAUGGACAAGAGGAGCUAGUAUAAGAUGCAGAGUUCCACCUGUUUUGUCACAGCACGGUAACAAAACUAAGAAAAGUUGGCCCAAG
Paramuricea clavata is the source of this 466-nucleotide non-coding RNA. Lineage: Eukaryota; Metazoa; Cnidaria; Anthozoa; Malacalcyonacea; Plexauridae. The record is from the annotation of a GenBank genome assembly.